RNAcentral lists this ribosomal RNA (724 nucleotides) under Bacillus subtilis. RNAcentral's name for it is "bacterial SSU rRNA". It matches the Rfam family "Bacterial small subunit ribosomal RNA", at positions 49 to 755 of the family's 1533-position model. Lineage: Bacteria; Bacillati; Bacillota; Bacilli; Caryophanales; Bacillaceae. The record is from RNAcentral.
UAAUACUUGCAAGUCGAGCGGACAGAUGGGAGCUUGCUCCCUGAUGUUAGCGGCGGACGGGUGAGUAACACGUGGGUAACCUGCCUGUAAGACUGGGAUAACUCCGGGAAACCGGGGCUAAUACCGGAUGGUUGUUUGAACCGCAUGGUUCAAACAUAAAAGGUGGCUUCGGCUACCACUUACAGAUGGACCCGCGGCGCAUUAGCUAGUUGGUGAGGUAAUGGCUCACCAAGGCAACGAUGCGUAGCCGACCUGAGAGGGUGAUCGGCCACACUGGGACUGAGACACGGCCCAGACUCCUACGGGAGGCAGCAGUAGGGAAUCUUCCGCAAUGGACGAAAGUCUGACGGAGCAACGCCGCGUGAGUGAUGAAGGUUUUCGGAUCGUAAAGCUCUGUUGUUAGGGAAGAACAAGUACCGUUCGAAUAGGGCGGUACCUUGACGGUACCUAACCAGAAAGCCACGGCUAACUACGUGCCAGCAGCCGCGGUAAUACGUAGGUGGCAAGCGUUGUCCGGAAUUAUUGGGCGUAAAGGGCUCGCAGGCGGUUUCUUAAGUCUGAUGUGAAAGCCCCCGGCUCAACCGGGGAGGGUCAUUGGAAACUGGGGAACUUGAGUGCAGAAGAGGAGAGUGGAAUUCCACGUGUAGCGGUGAAAUGCGUAGAGAUGUGGAGGAACACCAGUGGCGAAGGCGACUCUCUGGUCUGUAACUGACGCUGAGGAGCG